GACGAACGCUGGCGGCGUGCCUAAUACAUGCAAGUCGAGCGAGCGGAACUAACAGAUUUACUUCGGUAAUGACGUUAGGAAAGCGAGCGGCGGAUGGGUGAGUAACACGUGGGGAACCUGCCCCAUAGUCUGGGAUACCACUUGGAAACAGGUGCUAAUACCGGAUAAGAAAGCAGAUCGCAUGAUCAGCUUUUAAAAGGCGGCGUAAGCUGUCGCUAUGGGAUGGCCCCGCGGUGCAUUAGCUAGUUGGUAAGGUAAAGGCUUACCAAGGCGAUGAUGCAUAGCCGAGUUGAGAGACUGAUCGGCCACAUUGGGACUGAGACACGGCCCGAACUCCUACGGGAGGCAGCAGUAGGGAAUCUUCCACAAUGGACGCAAGUCCGAUGGAGCAACGCCGCGUGAGUGAAGAAGGUUUUCGGAUCGUAAAGCUCUGUUGUUGGUGAAGAAGGAUAGAGGUAGUAACUGGCCUUUAUUUGACGGUAAUCAACCAGAAAGUCACGGCUAACUACGUGCCAGCAGCCGCGGUAAUACGUAGGUGGCAAGCGUUGUCCGGAUUUAUUGGGCGUAAAGCGAGCGCAGGCGGAAGAAUAAGUCUGAUGUGAAAGCCCUCGGCUUAACCGAGGAACUGCAUCGGAAACUGUUUUUCUUGAGUGCAGAAGAGGAGAGUGGAACUCCAUGUGUAGCGGUGGAAUGCGUAGAUAUAUGGAAGAACACCAGUGGCGAAGGCGGCUCUCUGGUCUGCAACUGACGCUGAGGCUCGAAAGCAUGGGUAGCGAACAGGAUUAGAUACCCUGGUAGUCCAUGCCGUAAACGAUGAGUGCUAAGUGUUGGGAGGUUUCCGCCUCUCAGUGCUGCAGCUAACGCAUUAAGCACUCCGCCUGGGGGGUACGACCGCAAGGUUGAAACUCAAAGGAAUUGACGGGGGCCCGCACAAGCGGUGGAGCAUGUGGGUUAAUUCGAAGCAACGCGAAGAACCUUACCAGGUCUUGACAUCUAGUGCCAUUUGUAGAGAUACAAAGUUCCCUUCGGGGACGCUGAGACAGGUGGUGCAUGGCUGUCGUCAGCUCGUGUCGUGAGAUGUUGGGUUAAGUCCCGCAGCGAGCGCAACCCUUGUUAUUAGUUGCCAGCAUUAAGUUGGGCACUCUAAUGAGACUGCCGGUGACAAACCGGAGGAAGGUGGGGAUGACGUCAAGUCAUCAUGCCCCUUAUGACCUGGGCUACACACGUGCUACAAUGGGCAGUACAACGAGAAGCGAGCCUGCGAAGGCAAGCGAAUCUCUGAAAGCUGUUCUCAGUUCGGACUGCAGUCUGCAACUCGACUGCACGAAGCUGGAAUCGCUAGUAAUCGCGGAUCAGCACGCCGCGGUGAAUACGUUCCCGGGCCUUGUACACACCGCCCGUCACACCAAGGGAGUCUGCAAUGCCCAAAGCCGGUGGCCUAACCUUCGGGAAGGAGCCGUCUAAGGCAGGGCAGAUGACUGGGGUGAAGUCGUAACAAGGUAGCCGUAGGAGAACC
Molecule: ribosomal RNA, 1516 nt
Filed under: uncultured bacterium
Lineage: Bacteria
Description: bacterial SSU rRNA
Rfam family: Bacterial small subunit ribosomal RNA
Source: RNAcentral